Molecule: long non-coding RNA, 1378 nt
Organism: Mya arenaria
Lineage: Eukaryota; Metazoa; Mollusca; Bivalvia; Myida; Myidae
Exons: 2
Source: RefSeq, a predicted model, not a curated record
CAGUAUAAUUAAAUAAAGAGGUAUCUGAUAGACACCUGGCAUGGAAGAGUGAGAUUAUGCAGCAAAGAGGAUUGUUGCUUUUCUAGGUUUGGCCAUAGUAGUCAAUAUUUAUAUAAUCGUGAACUAUUUUCUAAAAUCAGGGAAAAAGCAAGCAGUUAGCAUCGACAUUGGAAUUCAAAAGAGUGAUGACGUCAUCAAUAGUCGUACACAUCCUGUGUGUACUUUGUAUGGCAAGAAUUGUACCCGGCCAAACGUACACCCGCGAGUGUGACGAAGAGACUAUGAAAAAUCGAUUUGGGUUUAAGGAACACUCGACAGACUGCAGUAAAUAUAUCCAGUGCCAUUUGAACAUAGACGGUCAGCUUGUCGGAAUUGUGAGAGAUUGUGGUUAUGGAACAUAUUGGAACCCAACUUUUUUGACGUGUAUAUUAGCAACAGACACUGUGUGCAAACAUGAUUUGUGUUUUCAACAACCAGACGGGAGACGAAGAAAAGGACAAGGAAAUUGUAGAGGUUUCUAUGAAUGCCAGGAAAGUACGUCUAUGCCAAUGUGUUGUCCUUUUGGACAAUAUUUUCAUGACAGUCUCGUAUGUGUAAACAAUACAGCAGAUAUCAAGUGCAAACAACGUUGUUUUGACACCAUUUUGAGCACACAUGCGACUAAAUCAUCUGGAAUAUUUGCUGAACAUACUUUAAAAAACCCGUCUGCGAGGCAAAAGGAAACAAAUAAGCCUAUAGCCAGCAGCUCAAAUACAGACAAAGUUCAAACAACUACUACAAAAACGGUCUGUGACAAAGGCGUUAUACCUGGAAAACCUGGAAUGUAUAAAGAGACGCUUAAUGGCGGAUGGAUUAUAAAAAGACCUUGUCCGACUGGAACAAUAUUUGUACAAGCUGCCUGCAGCUGCAUCUCCAUUUGGGAUCAAACUAAAGUACCUGAAUUUGCAUAGUAGCCCAAACACCGAUUUUUACGCCGAAAAUCCACCCACCAUUUACGCUUGACGAAAACGAUCAGUCGGCCAACGUGUAUCAAAUUAUCAACCACAAUGUUACAGUGAGAAAGUGAGGAGCCAUUUUCGAUAAAAAGAACUGUUUUAGAAUUCCAAUAUACCUUAAUAUGGAUAAUACAAUUUUUAGUUAUCCAAGUUAUCUAACUGUUUAUGUUAAUUUUAAAUUUAAAUUUCAUUAUUCAGGUUUUUCACAACGAAAUGUUUUGUUUAAGUUCUUGUCAUAUGGGAUCACUGAGAGUUUUUGGAAAUAAAUCAAUGUUAUACUUCUUCGCUUCGACAAAUUUAAGCUUUGCAUUACAGUUAAUCUAAACGACUGUCGUUUUCGCAUGUUGGGUGCAUUUAAACUGAAUAUGAUUUCCGGAAACCAU